UGGGGAAUAUUGGACAAUGGGCGCAAGCCUGAUCCAGCAAUGCCGCGUGUGUGAAGAAGGCCUUUUGGUUGUAAAGCACUUUAAGCGAGGAGGAGGCUACUUGGAUUAAUACUCUAGGAUAGUGGACGUUACUCGCAGAAUAAGCACCGGCUAACUCUGUGCCAGCAGCCGCGGUAAUACAGAGGGUGCGAGCGUUAAUCGGAUUUACUGGGCGUAAAGCGUGCGUAGGCGGCUUCUUAAGUCGGAUGUGAAAUCCCUGAGCUUAACUUAGGAAUUGCAUUCGAUACUGGGAAGCUAGAGUAUGGGAGAGGAUGGUAGAAUUCCAGGUGUAGCGGUGAAAUGCGUAGAGAUCUGGAGGAAUACCGAUGGUGAAGGCAGCCAUCUGGCCUAAUACUGACGCUGAGGUACGAAAGCAUGGGGAGCAAACAGG
RNAcentral lists this ribosomal RNA (430 nucleotides) under Acidobacteriota bacterium. RNAcentral's name for it is "Acidobacteria bacterium partial 16S ribosomal RNA". It matches the Rfam family "Bacterial small subunit ribosomal RNA", at positions 355 to 776 of the family's 1533-position model. Lineage: Bacteria; Pseudomonadati; Acidobacteriota. The record is from RNAcentral.